GAAGUUCUGAGAAACUCGAUCCCCACCUGUUCCACAUCACAGUGCAUGAGAAAGAAAUGCCUAAUGAACCCACUGAGCUGAAGCCUCUACUUUUCAUCAUCUGCUCAAGCAGUAUACAAAUUUCAUGUCUUUGAGCCCCACUGUAAAGGGCAAGGAUCUGUCACCAGGCACCUGAGCACAGGAUCCAAACUCUCAGUCCAUGUUCAUGACCACCACAGACAAAACCAAUGCACAACAAGUUUGGGUUUUGUACGCCAGGAAAUGAUUCCUCUCUCACUGAAGUGUUCUUUCUCAUCAUGACUUCACUUUUCUCCAGGGAAGCUGAGGGAAGAACAAGAACUCGGAGAACUUCCAGGAGUAUUUUUAGGAAGAAAUACUUUCUAUUUGAUCCAUUUUCUCUUCUGAUUUCACUCAGGAUUCCAUGGAGACAAUUGAGUUAUUUCACUGUUUCUAUGCUUUUGUCACUCUUCAGUGUUAAAAGAUAAAGCAUGCUGCUAUAUACAGAAAAAAUGUGAGUCGAAGCAAGAGCAAUACAGAAUGGGCAACAUAUUCCUUAAAACUUACAAGAUACUUUUAAAAGCUUCAGUGCACCAGCAGUGCGAUAUAUUCUUCUC
Prinia subflava (tawny-flanked prinia) is the source of this 614-nucleotide long non-coding RNA. RefSeq lists it as uncharacterized. The transcript has 4 exons. The record is from RefSeq and is a predicted model, not a curated record. Lineage: Eukaryota; Metazoa; Chordata; Aves; Passeriformes; Cisticolidae.